CCUACGGGGGGCAGCAGUGGGGAAUAUUGGACAAUGGGGGCAACCCUGAUCCAGCCAUGCCGCGUGUGUGAAGAAGGCCCUCGGGUUGUAAAGCACUUUCAGUGAGGAAGAACGCCUGGUGGUUAACACCCAUCAGGAAAGACAUCACUCACAGAAGAAGCACCGGCUAACUCCGUGCCAGCAGCCGCGGUAAUACGGAGGGUGCGAGCGUUAAUCGGAAUUACUGGGCGUAAAGCGCGCGUAGGUGGCUUGAUAAGCCGGUUGUGAAAGCCCCGGGCUCAACCUGGGAACGGCAUCCGGAACUGUCAAGCUAGAGUGCAGGAGAGGAAGGUAGAAUUCCCGGUGUAGCGGUGAAAUGCGUAGAGAUCGGGAGGAAUACCAGUGGCGAAGGCGGCCUUCUGGACUGACACUGACACUGAGGUGCGAAAGCGUGGGUAGCAAACAGGAUUAGAUACCCUUGUAGUC
RNAcentral lists this ribosomal RNA (465 nucleotides) under Vreelandella stevensii. RNAcentral's name for it is "partial 16S ribosomal RNA". It matches the Rfam family "Bacterial small subunit ribosomal RNA", at positions 338 to 795 of the family's 1533-position model. The record is from RNAcentral. Lineage: Bacteria; Pseudomonadati; Pseudomonadota; Gammaproteobacteria; Oceanospirillales; Halomonadaceae.